Molecule: Y RNA, 102 nt
Filed under: Propithecus coquereli (Coquerel's sifaka)
Lineage: Eukaryota; Metazoa; Chordata; Mammalia; Primates; Indriidae
Description: Y RNA (ENSPCOG00000010939.1)
Rfam family: Y RNA
About the family: Y RNAs are components of the Ro ribonucleoprotein particle (Ro RNP), in association with Ro60 and La proteins. The Y RNAs and Ro60 and La proteins are well conserved, but the function of the Ro RNP is not known.
Source: Rfam by way of RNAcentral
GGUUGGUCCGAGUGCAGUGGUGUUUACAACUAAUUGAUCACAACCAGUUACAGAUUCCUUUGUUCCUUCUCCACUCCCACUGCUCCACUUGACUAGCCUUAA